GUGGGUGAUGCGUUAAUUCAGGGAACCCGGGUUCGAAUCCUCCUGAAAACCAAAUGACAAAUAUUUUUUUUAAAUAAAAUGACGUCGUUUUCGGUUUAAUUUCCACGUAUUAACCUUAUAAAUCAACGUAAUCAUCCGUUAAGUCCACGUAAAACUCCGUCAAUAUUUGACUAACGGAGACACGGUCAAUGUAUGAAUUUAUCGAAAAGUGUUGGUUGGCUUAUGAAAUUUAAAUAUAAUUUGAGUUGUUGAUGUCUGUUUUAGCACAGGGUGUGAGUGUAUGUACUGAUCGGGACCGCGAC
Molecule: long non-coding RNA, 302 nt
Filed under: Brassica napus (rape)
Lineage: Eukaryota; Viridiplantae; Streptophyta; Magnoliopsida; Brassicales; Brassicaceae
Description: long non-coding RNA (BNAP_LNC012541)
Source: RNAcentral